This 85-nucleotide microRNA precursor is filed under the name Olea europaea subsp. europaea. Lineage: Eukaryota; Viridiplantae; Streptophyta; Magnoliopsida; Lamiales; Oleaceae. The record is from RNAcentral.
CUGACAGAAAGAGUAGUGAGCACGCGCAUCCACAAAGGUAUACUCUUUAUACAAUUGCCUGCGUGUGCUCACUCUCUUCUGUCAG